This 442-nucleotide ribosomal RNA is filed under the name uncultured bacterium. RNAcentral describes it as "partial 16S ribosomal RNA". It matches the Rfam family "Bacterial small subunit ribosomal RNA", at positions 338 to 795 of the family's 1533-position model. The record is from RNAcentral.
CCUACGGGUGGCAGCAGUGGGGAAUAUUGGGCAAUGGGCGCAAGCCUGACCCAGUAACGCCGCGUGAAGGAAGAAGGCUUUCGGGUUGUAAACUUCUUUUAAGAGGGAAGAGCAGAAGACGGUACCUCUUGAAUAAGCCACGGCUAACUACGUGCCAGCAGCCGCGGUAAUACGUAGGUGGCAAGCGUUGUCCGGAUUUACUGGGUGUAAAGGGCGUGUAGCCGGGAAGACAAGUCAGAUGUGAAAUCCCGCGGCUCAACCGCGGACCUGCAUUUGAAACUGUUGGUCUUGAGUAUCGGAGAGGUCGUCGGAAUUCCUAGUGUAGCGGUGAAAUGCGUAGAUAUUAGGAAGAACACCAGUGGCGAAGGCGGCCGGCUGGACGGCAACUGACGGUGAGGCGCGAAAGCGUGGGGAGCAAACAGGAUUAGAUACCCCUGUAGUC